UACGAAGGGGGCUAGCGUUGUUCGGAAUUACUGGGCGUAAAGCGCACGUAGGCGGAUGUUUAAGUUAGGGGUGAAAUCCCAGGGCUCAACCCUGGAACUGCCCCUAAUACUGGGCAUCUAGAGUCCGAGAGAGGUGAGUGGAAUUCCGAGUGUAGAGGUGAAAUUCGUAGAUAUUCGGAGGAACACCAGUGGCGAAGGCGGCUCACUGGCUCGGUACUGACGCUGAGGUGCGAAAGCGUGGGGAGCAAACAGG
RNAcentral lists this ribosomal RNA (253 nucleotides) under uncultured bacterium. Its description in RNAcentral is "partial 16S ribosomal RNA". It matches the Rfam family "Bacterial small subunit ribosomal RNA", at positions 524 to 776 of the family's 1533-position model. The record is from RNAcentral.